AGUGAACGCUGGCGGUAGGCCUAACACAUGCAAGUCGAACGACAGCACAGUAAGAUCUUGCUUUUACGGUUGGCGAGUGGCGGACGAGUGAGGCAUACAUCGGAAACUUCUUUGUCGUGGGGGAUAACGUGGAGAAACUUAUGCUAACACCUCAUACGACCUACGGGUUAAAGCAGUAGAUAUUCGGACCUUGGGUGAUUGUAUGAGACGACGCCGCAUUAGCUAGUUGGCGGGGUAAAGGCACACCAAGGCGACGAUCCGUAGCUGAUCUGACAGGAUGAUCAGCCACACUGGAACUGAGACACGGUCCAGACUCCUACGGGAGGCAGCAGUGGGGAAUAUUGGGCAAUGGGCGCAAGCCUGAUCCAGCAAUACCGCGUGGGUGAAGAAGGCCUUCGGGUCGUAAAACCCUGUUGUUAGGAAAGAAAAGCAGCAGGAGAAAACCCGGCUGUCCUGACGGUACCCAAUCAAUAAGCAACGGCUAACUUCGUG
This 492-nucleotide ribosomal RNA is filed under the name uncultured bacterium. RNAcentral describes it as "partial 16S ribosomal RNA". It matches the Rfam family "Bacterial small subunit ribosomal RNA", at positions 29 to 507 of the family's 1533-position model. The record is from RNAcentral.